RNAcentral lists this transfer RNA (65 nucleotides) under Papio anubis (olive baboon). Its description in RNAcentral is "tRNA-Arg". It matches the Rfam family "tRNA". From Rfam's summary of the family: Transfer RNA (tRNA) molecules are approximately 80 nucleotides in length. Their secondary structure includes four short double-helical elements and three loops (D, anti-codon, and T loops). Lineage: Eukaryota; Metazoa; Chordata; Mammalia; Primates; Cercopithecidae. The record is from RNAcentral.
UGGUAAGUAGUUUAAACAAAACAAAUGAUUUCGACUCAUUAAAUUAUGGUAACCAUACUAACCAA